CACGCACGCACACAGGCACACACACAGAGGGCCGAACAUAGUGUCCUUCGCACGUCAUCCUACUCUACUCGCCUGUCGUAGUAACGGUGCAGUGGCGCGUCUCAAACAUACUCCGCGAGAAAGGGGAAAGCCGAUUCGCUCGUUUUUUUUUUGGCUUCCAACGAAGAAGCCUCUCCUCCUCGCAUGCUGAAGCCCAGUCGUCUUGUCGGUCUGUCAGCAAGCAUCCUUGGCACCCACCUACACAUGUCCGCAGAGCAGCACACUGAGGCACAGGUGUCGGAGCUGGAGAAGCGCGCAACAAGCGCUGAGAAGCAGCUUCAGGCGCUAAGGGUGAAGCUGGAAGACGGCGCCGGCGCUGCUGCCAGCGGCGCCAAACUGGAGGCCCGUCUGCGUGAGCUGCUGAAACUCAUGUCCGAGGACCGUGAUGAAUGCGAGAUGAUACGCGCUCAACGUGACGAGCUCAUGGAGGAGAACGCCCGCCUGCGGGCGCAGGUGAUGAAGGGUGAGUACCGCAUCAAGCACCUCCUGCGUACUAUUGAGGAGAUCGAACAGGCUGGUGCGCCUCAGUGAGACGCAGAGCACACAGAUACACGCAGGGAUGGAAAAAGGAAACGUGAAGGCGCUCGAUAACUCGCAGUGACUUUGAUUCUUUUCGUUGUUUGCUUCUUCGUGGUGCCGCAAGGGCAGGAGUCGUCCUAUGCCAUCUAGGCACAGGGCGCAUCUGGCCAGCUAAAAUUGAUGAGGCUUCUUGCGCCCAUUAGGGCUGCGUGAGCACGUCCAGGUGCCCCUCCCUCUCCCCCUCCAAAAAAAAAAGGGAAAGCGAACACAUGUACUCGACAUAAAAGCAAUACUGAAACACAAGAGUACGUGCGUCCAUGUUCGCCCAGUGCGUCUAGUCAGGCAUUCACGUGUGUGCGCCACAAAAC
This 926-nucleotide unclassified non-coding RNA is filed under the name Leishmania donovani. RNAcentral describes it as "gene:LdHU3.36.6580(CDS-product:hypothetical_prote in_conserved)". Lineage: Eukaryota; Euglenozoa; Kinetoplastea; Trypanosomatida; Trypanosomatidae. The record is from RNAcentral.